RNAcentral lists this long non-coding RNA (5450 nucleotides) under Nicotiana tabacum (common tobacco). RNAcentral's name for it is "long non-coding RNA (NTAB_LNC008527)". The record is from RNAcentral. Lineage: Eukaryota; Viridiplantae; Streptophyta; Magnoliopsida; Solanales; Solanaceae.
UGUCGAGCAGUCUAUCCUUUGCAUUAUUCCGCCUUCUUGAACCGGAAACGUCACCGUGAGCACAAUAUAUUUGUAGGAAAGCAGAGAAUUUAGGAAGUUUUCUUUUCUAUUGAUUUCUGUAUAUGCAAAUCAGUACAUGGUAUUGUAUAUAUACGAAAGAGAGAGCAAAAAAAGAAUAUUCUUCCUAACCAACUUGUCACAGCUGUCCUAUACAUGAUUGACUGUGUGAUAACUAAAUUUGUACUGUGUAUAGAAUAAUUAGAGAAAAGGAAACAUUUAUCUACAAAUACGUGUGUGUAUACUAGAAGUUUCUAAUGUAACAUUUUGUUGUAUUCUUUUCCUUUUGGGUUGCAUUCUUUUCUAUUGGGCUGUAUAUUGGUAAAUUGUUGGGCCUGCUCAGGAAGUCCAAAACUUCUGGUCCGUUUUGCUUUUAUAAUUUCAGACAAGACCAAACCUAUCCUUUCCUUAAACUUAUCAAAACGUUUUCCUCUUUCAUUCGAUGCAACCAAAGCCCUAAUUUUUCUUUCAUCUUCUUUGGUUCUUUGUCGAUGAGAAACAAGAACAUUAUUGUCAACACCCCCCCUCAAGUUGGAGGGGUGAGAAGAAACCCCUAACUUGCCGAUAACCUGCUGAUGACGAAGGCCAGUGAGAGGUUUGGUGAAGACGUCGGCAAGCUGAGAAACGGAGGGAACAAAAUUGAGAGUAAUGAGGCCGUCAAGGAACUGUUGGCGAACAAAAUGACAGUCAAGCUCCACAUGCUUGGUACGCUCAUGGAAAACGGGAUUCCGAGCGAUAUGUAUGGCAGCUUGACUAUCAGAAUGAAGAGAGACCGGUAGAGAUGGUGAAAUAGUGAGGUCAGAUAGCAAACGAACGAGCCAAGUAAGUUCGGCAACAACGCGCCUCAUGGAUCUAUACUCUGCUUCAGCAGAGGAGAGGGAAAUUAAAGGUUGUUUCUUUGAUUUCCAAGAAACAGGAGGGCCACCAAGGCUAAUGAAAUAGUCGCUAACAGAGCGACGAGUCUCCGGACAAGAAUCCCAGUCAGAAUCACAAAAGGCAAGUAGCUGAAAAGAGGGAUCAGUUCUAAAAAACAAACCAAGACCAGGAUUGGCAAGUAAGUAUCGAACACAGUGAAUGGCUGCUUGAAAAUGAGGUUGUCGAGGAGUUUGCAUGUAUUGACUCAAAUGCUGAACGACAAAGGAUAAAUCUGGGCGGGUAUGAGUCAAAAAAUUGAGCUUUCCCAGUAGGCGACGAUAAACAGUAGGAUCAGGCAAAAGCUCACCAACAUCAGCAUAAAGUUUAGUAGAUGGCUCAAGUGGAGAAGCAGUAGGUUUCUUGUCAAGACAGUCAAAUUCAGACAACAAUUCUAAGGUAAACUUUCUCUGUGUAACAAUUAAUCCUUGAGAUUCCCUUAAAAGUUCCAUUCAAAGGAAAAAAUUAGCCUGACCCAAGUCUUUUAUUUUAAAUUCCGAGUGAAAAAGUCCUUUAGAAGAGCUAUCUCAGUAAGAUCAUCUCCUGUUAAAAGGAUAUCAUUGACAUAGGCUGCAAGGAUGCAUACUCCAGUAGUUGUCUUCUUGAAAAACAGGGAAUAGUCAUUUAGGGAAUGAGAAUACCCUUUAAAAUUAAGAGCAGCAGUUAGUCUUGCAUACCACUGCCGUGAGGCCUGUUUUAGACCAUUGAAAGACUUCCUCAAUCUGCAUACAUGAUUAGAACUAGGAGGUUGCAUACCAACAGGGAAUUUCAUAUACACUUCUUCCUGUAAAUCACCAUGAAGAAAGGCAUUGUUAACGUCUAAUUGAAACAAUGUCCAGCUCUUUUUAACUGCAACUGCUAAUAGGCAUCUCACAGUGGUCAUUCUGACCACAGGUGAAAAAGUUUCCGUGUAAUCAAUUCCCUCUCGUUGAACAUCCCCCCGAAUGACUAGUCGUGCCUUGAACCGUUCGAUACUGCCAUCUGCCUUGUAUUUGACUUUGUAAACCCAUUUACAAGGCAUUGCCUUUUUCCCUUUAGGAAGAAGAACUACAUCCCAAGUGUUGUUGGCCUCCAAGGCCUCAAACUCCCGUGCCAUCGCUUUCUGCCAAUAGGGGUGUAAACAGGCUUGGGAAAAAGUAGUUGGGUCAUGAAUAUGAGAAGUUGAGUUGAGAAAAGCCUUAUUAGAAUGAGAAAGAGCAGAAAUAGGUAGAGUAGGAGGUGAGGGUGAGGCUGCAAAACAAGUAGAGGUUAGAUUAGUUAGUUAAACUGCAUUACAUACAUAAUCCUUCAAAUAGGUAGGACGAUGCACAUCUCUGGAGGACCUUCUCAACUGAAAAGGAGAAGGGGAAGAUGCAGAUGUAGAAAGAGUGAAAGGUACUGGACUGUGAGUCAUAGAAGGCAGUGGAGAGGAGGAAUAGGAGGAAGAAGGGACAGAGUUAGAGGCAGAACUAGGAAGUAGAGAGUUAGUAGAAGGGGAAUUGGGAAAGAUAGGAGGAAAAACAGGAAAAGAAAGAGGCUGGGAGGACUAGGAAAUAGGAGAGGAAGGUGAUACUGGAAAAAUAGAAACAUAGGGAGUAGAGAUAAAAGGAAAAAAAUCUUCAUGAAAUCUUACAUUUCUGGAAACAAAAGUUUUCAUAGUGAGUAAGUCCAACAGUUUGUAUCCCUUUUGGCUAAAAGGAUAACCCAAAAUCACACAUUUGAUAGCUCUAGGGUCCAGCUUAGAUCUGGAUUGAGGGAGAGUAGAAGCAUAGCAAAGGCAACCAAAAACUUUGAGGUUAUCAUAAGAAGGAGCCCUGCCAAAAAGAAGCUCAUAUGGUGUUUUGUAAUGGAGAACCCUAGAAGGGAACCUGUUAAUCAAAUAAGUAGCAGUCAAAAGACAUUCACCCCAAUAGGAUAAAGGUAGAUUGGACUGAAAAAGCAAAGCCCUACAAGUCUCCAAAAGAUGUUUGUGUUAUUCUUUCGACUACCCCAUUCUGUUGUGGUGUGGCUACACAAGAAGUUUGGGUAAGAUACUUUGGGAAGAUAGGAAAUUAGAGGUGUUUAAGCUGGAACCCAACUUUUUAGCAUUGUCAGAUCCAUUUUCACCUUGGUAUUGAAUUGUCUUUCAACUAAAACCAAAAAAUACUUCAAAACAAUGAAAACAUUACCUUUUUGUUUUAAGAAGACAUGUCCAUGUACCCCUACUAAAAUCAUCAACAAUUGUUAGAAAGUACUUGUAACCAUCAUGAGUUGUGGUUUUAUAAGGGCCCCAAGUAUCCUUAUGAAUAAGUUCAAAAUUCGAUUUAGCUGAGAUUGUACUAGUAGGAAAAGGAAGCUUAGACUGCCGAGCUUCUGAACAAACAUCACAUGGAUCAGUAAAAGUAGAUAAGGAAGAUAAUGAAAAACUGUAAAGAUUCUUCAUACUAGAAAUAGACAAAUGCCCCAAUCUCUUAUGCCAAAGGCGUACAUCAGAUAAUCUCUUGGAAUUGGACUGAGAAUUAGAACAGGAGUAGUACUAGAAUUAUUACAAACAGACUUAGAAGCUAAAGUUCUAACUGAAACUGAACUAGGAAAAACUGAAACUGAGGCAAACUUGAAUGGAGCAUCACUAGGUUUGAUUGGAAUAGACUUGAGAACAUAUAAUCCUUCUUGAACUUCACCAAGAACCACUGGCCUCUUCAUUGAAGGGGCCUGCAAGAUUGCACCAAGAGAAUAAAAAAUUAACAAACAAUGUAAUUGAGUAGUGAAUUUGUGGACUGAUAGAAGAUUAAAUCUGAAUUGAGGUACAAAAAGCACAUUGUGGAGAGUAAGAUCACAGGCAAGAUAUGAACACUACCUUUAUGAGUAACUUUGAGUUUUUGAGAAUUAGGCAAUUUAACAUACAAUGUUGAGGACAGAGGCAUGGUGUUAAAUAAGAGUGAAUGAUCAUAGGUCAUGUGUUCUGAGGCUCCAGAAUCAAGAACCCAUGAGAAAGAGUCAGUGUGAGAUAGUAGUGAAAAAGGGCAAGGGUCUAAUUUAGGUGUGAUUAUACCAGCACAAUUGGCAGAAACUGUAGCAUCAGACAUUUGAUCACUCUGUUGUCCAACCUUCACUUACUGGAGAAGCCGAAAGAGCUGAGAAAAUUGUUCUUGUGUGAUGACAUUUCCAGAAGAGGUUCCCUCCAUGCUUUGAACUUGCUGCACAAUGUGUUGUUCAGCUGCAACUGGAGCUGCAUUGCUGUGAACAUGAGGCUGAUACUUCUUUGAUUUGGUAAAUUUGAAAUUUGCUGGGAAUCCAAUCAACCUGUAACAAUUAUCAACAACAUGAUUUGUCAUUUUACAGUAAGUGCAAAAUUUCCUCCCUUUGGCUUAUCAGAGUUGUGUUUCAUAGGUCCAGCAGUAGAAUUAAACUUCUGAAAACUGUUUGUCCUUUGAUUGUUGUUAAACUUCUGAUUUGUAACCAGGAAAGUAGCUUCAGAUGGACGAGCAGCAACAUGGACUUCUCUUUGUUUCUCAUCUUGAAUAAGCAAAGAAUAAGCAUGGCUAACAGUGGGAAGAGGGUCCAUCAUUAGAAUACUGCUCUUAACACUUGAAUAGGCUUCAUUAAGCCCCAUCAAAAACUGGAUCAGCCUGCCAUCUUGAUGAGAAUUGAGGGUUUUCUUCUUACCACCACAGGUGUACUUACACGAGCAAUGGUCAAAGGUAUUUAGGGCAUCUAACUCAUCCCAGAUCUGUUUGACCUUUGUGAAAUAUCCUGCUAUAUCUGAAGCACCUUGGACAUCAUCAUUGAGUUCCCUUUGGAGCUGGUACAGCUGAGCUCCAUUACACUGCCCAAAUCUGGCUUCUAACUCCUUCCAUAUUUCUCUGGCAGUUUUGGAGUAGAGAACAGAUUCAGCAAUGCUCUUAGAGAGUGAGUUGAGAAUCCAGGAGAUUACCGUGUCAUUACAUCUGCUCCAAGACUUGUAGUGAGCAGAAACAUCAGCUGGCUCAGUAGAAGACCCAUCAAUGAACCAAGCUUGUUCUUGGCUAAAAGAGUGAUGACAAUAGCCCUGCUCCAUCCUGCAUAUCCUUUCCUAUCAAAAGGAGAGUUCACCAGAAUCAUUCCAGGUGAAUCAGAUGGGUGUAGGUAAUAAGGAUUGGAGGAAUCAAGCAAGCUUGAAGAAGAGGUACCAGAAAGUGGAGUGGAAUGAUCAUCAGCAGAGGGAGCCAUUUGAAAAGAAAAAACUGAAAAUCUGAAAAAAAGAGACUUUUUGAGCACCUAAAGCUCUGAUACCAUGUAGGAAAGCAGAGAAUUUAGGAAGUUUUCUUUUCUAUUGAUUUCUGUAUAUGCAAAUCAGUACAUGGUAUUGUAUAUAUACGAAAGAGAGAGAAAAAAAAAAUAUUCUUCCUAACUAACUUGUCACACCUAUCCUAUACAUGAUUGGCUGUGUGAUAACUUUUUGUACUGUGUGUAGAAUAAUUAGAGAAAAGGAAACAUUUAUCUACAAAUAUGUGUGUGUAUACUAGAAGUAUCUAAUGUAACAU